Long non-coding RNA from Echinops telfairi (small Madagascar hedgehog), 344 nucleotides. RefSeq lists it as uncharacterized. The transcript has 2 exons. The record is from RefSeq and is a predicted model, not a curated record. NCBI's taxonomy places the organism in Eukaryota, Metazoa, Chordata, Mammalia, Afrosoricida, Tenrecidae.
AUGAGCCAUCUCAAGCAUCCCUGUACACAUCGUGACACCCUGAUGACUUAAGAGCUGAGUCCUCAACAUGGCUUACACCAGAAUCACCUAGCGACCUCCUUAAACCACGGAAGCCUGGGUCAUGCCUGAAGAGCAUCUGCUGGAUUCGACCCACUGACGUUUCAGAGAGCACCUUCACUACAGGGAGGGGCUGCCCAAAGGGAGAACUCGCCAAGGGAAGAAGAACAAGUUCGGCAUACAAAGAGCAUCCGAUGAAGGUCUCGGUGUUCAGAUGCGUUGCAUUUGAUACUUUUCAAAGUCUCUAAGAAUAAAAAUUUGGGCUGAAAGCCCAACACACUUGCUCA